GGGGGCCCGCACAAGCGGUGGAGCAUGUGGUUUAAUUCGAUGCAACGCGAAGAACCUUACCUACUCUUGACAUCCAGAGAACUUAGCAGAGAUGCUUUGGUGCCUUCGGGAACUCUGAGACAGGUGCUGCAUGGCUGUCGUCAGCUCGUGUUGUGAAAUGUUGGGUUAAGUCCCGCAACGAGCGCAACCCUUAUCCUUUGUUGCCAGCGGUCCGGCCGGGAACUCAAAGGAGACUGCCAGUGAUAAACUGGAGGAAGGUGGGGAUGACGUCAAGUCAUCAUGGCCCUUACGAGUAGGGCUACACACGUGCUACAAUGGCAUAUACAAAGAGAAGCGACCUCGCGAGAGCAAGCGGACCUCAUAAAGUAUGUCGUAGUCCGGAUUGGAGUCUGCAACUCGACUCCAUGAAGUCGGAAUCGCUAGUAAUCGUGGAUCAGAAUGCCACGGUGAAUACGUUCCCGGGCCUUGUACACACCGCCCGUCACACCAUGGGAGUGGGUUGCAAAAGAAGUAGGUAGCUUAACCUUCGGGAGGGCGCUUACCACUUUGUGAUUCAUGACUGGGGUGAAGUCGUAACAAGGUAACCGUAGGGGAACCUGCGGUUGGAUCACCUCCUUACCUUAAAGAA
RNAcentral lists this ribosomal RNA (628 nucleotides) under Klebsiella michiganensis. Its description in RNAcentral is "bacterial SSU rRNA". It matches the Rfam family "Bacterial small subunit ribosomal RNA", at positions 915 to 1533 of the family's 1533-position model. Lineage: Bacteria; Pseudomonadati; Pseudomonadota; Gammaproteobacteria; Enterobacterales; Enterobacteriaceae. The record is from RNAcentral.